This is a small nuclear RNA of Callithrix jacchus (white-tufted-ear marmoset), 108 nucleotides long. The record is from Ensembl. Lineage: Eukaryota; Metazoa; Chordata; Mammalia; Primates; Cebidae.
GUGCUCGCUUCGGCAGCACAUGUACUAAAACUGUGAACAAUACAGAGAAGAUUAGCAUGGGCCCUGCGCAAGGAUGACACGCAAAUUCGUGAAGCAUUCUGUAUUUAA